Molecule: ribosomal RNA, 474 nt
Filed under: uncultured bacterium
Lineage: Bacteria
Description: SSU rRNA
Rfam family: Bacterial small subunit ribosomal RNA
Source: RNAcentral
AGGAUAAACGCUGGCGGCGUGCUUCAGGCAUGCAAGUCGAACGGACAGUUUGGCUUCGGCCAAACUGUUAGUGGCGGACGGGUGAGUAACACGUAAGUAACCUGCCCGGAAGUGGGGAAUAACAAGCCGAAAGGCUUGCUAAUACCGCAUGUGAAGGCUCUUCCUCGGAUGAGUCUUGAAAGGUGUAAAUCGCUUCCGGAGGGGCUUGCGGUCGAUUAGCUAGUUGGUGGGGUAAUGGCCUACCAAGGCGACGAUCGAUAGCUGGUCUGAGAGGACGGUCAGCCACACGGGGACUGAGAUACGGCCCCGACUCCUACGGGAGGCAGCAGCUAGGAAUCUUGGGAAUGCGCGAAAGCGUGACCCAGCAACGCCGCGUGGGCGAUGAAGGCCUUCGGGUCGUAAAGCCCUUUUGCAGGGGACGAUAGUGACGGUACCUUGCGAAUAAGCCACGGCUAACUACGUGCCAGCAGCCGC